AACCAUUCUCACCUGCGGCUAGACCUGCGGAAGGAUCAUUAUCGUUGGGCUCCUGCCCAUUCGAGAUAACACCCUUGCCUUUUUGAGUACCUUUUCGUUUCCUCGGCAGGCACGCCUGCCAACGGGGACCCUUCAAAACGCUUUGUAAUACCUGUCAUUGUCUGAUAUAACAAGCAAAAAUCAAAACUUUCAGCAAUGGAUCU
RNAcentral lists this unclassified non-coding RNA (203 nucleotides) under soil metagenome. RNAcentral describes it as "partial contains 5.8S ribosomal RNA, internal transcribed spacer 2, and large subunit ribosomal RNA". The record is from RNAcentral.